GACGAACGCUGGCGGCGUGCCUAAUACAUGCAAGUCGAACGCUGAAGCGAGGAGCUUGCUCUUCUUGGAUGAGUUGCGAACGGGUGAGUAACGCGUAGGUAACCUGCCUUGUAGCGGGGGAUAACUAUUGGAAACGAUAGCUAAUACCGCAUAACAAUGGAUGACCCAUGUCAUUUAUUUGAAAGGGGCAAAUGCUCCACUACAAGAUGGACCUGCGUUGUAUUAGCUAGUAGGUGAGGUAACGGCUCACCUAGGCGACGAUACAUAGCCGACCUGAGAGGGUGAUCGGCCACACUGGGACUGAGACACGGCCCAGACUCCUACGGGAGGCAGCAGUAGGGAAUCUUCGGCAAUGGGGGCAACCCUGACCGAGCAACGCCGCGUGAGUGAAGAAGGUGUUCGGAUCGUAAAGCUCUGUUGUAAGUCAAGAACGAGUGUGGGAGUGGAAAGUUCACACUGUGACGGUAGCUUACCAGAAAGGGACGGCUAACUACGU
This 496-nucleotide ribosomal RNA is filed under the name uncultured bacterium. RNAcentral describes it as "partial 16S ribosomal RNA". It matches the Rfam family "Bacterial small subunit ribosomal RNA", at positions 28 to 506 of the family's 1533-position model. The record is from RNAcentral.